This 224-nucleotide non-coding RNA is filed under the name Pongo abelii (Sumatran orangutan). Lineage: Eukaryota; Metazoa; Chordata; Mammalia; Primates; Hominidae. The record is from RNAcentral.
ACCCGCGGCCCGCCCCUGGCCGCCCGACGGGAGGGAGGGAUCGGGUUCUCCUAGGAAGUUUCAGUAUGCAUUCUUAGAAACCAGAUAUACAAAGACAAGCUCUCUGCUUUCAAGAAGCUCUCAAUCUGAUCGAGGAGAGAAACAGGUAGCAAAUAAUGACAGCAGAGCGUGUGUUUUUUGAAGAUAAAAUGAUUAAGUCAGAUUUUAAGAAUUGACUGUUGGAG